GGAUUAGAUACCCUGGUAGUCCACGCCGUAAACGAUGAGAACUAGAUGUCGGGAGGAAUUGCCUUUCGGUGUCGCAGCUAACGCGUUAAGUUCUCCGCCUGGGGAGUACGCCGGCAACGGUAAAACUCAAAGGAAUUGACGGGGGCCCGCACAAGCGGUGGAGCAUGUGGUUUAAUUCGAGGCAACGCGAAGAACCUUACCAGCCCUUGACAUCCACGGAACAUCUUGGAAACAAGAGGGUGCCUUCGGGAACCGUGAGACAGGUGCUGCAUGGCUGUCGUCAGCUCGUGCCG
Molecule: ribosomal RNA, 293 nt
Filed under: uncultured bacterium
Lineage: Bacteria
Description: partial 16S ribosomal RNA
Rfam family: Bacterial small subunit ribosomal RNA
Source: RNAcentral